Molecule: long non-coding RNA, 396 nt
Organism: Prunus avium (sweet cherry)
Lineage: Eukaryota; Viridiplantae; Streptophyta; Magnoliopsida; Rosales; Rosaceae
Source: RefSeq, a predicted model, not a curated record
AUCUCUUUUCUUUGCAACUCUGUUUUUGUAUUUCUCUCUUCUUUUUUUUCUCUUCAUUUUUUGUUUCUCUGUACAUAUAUGUGUUCAUCUUGUAGAUCUGGGUGAAGUUCUUGGAGAUCUGGGUUAAGUCCCAGUCCAAAGCAGGUACUGAAGUAGCAUGGAUAAAAAGAAAGACUGAAGAUGUUGCAGAAAAUUGAAUGUGUUCUAUUUCUGUAAUUUGUUUGUAAUUAAAUUUGCUUUAUUUUGUUUUGUUUUUAGGUUUUAAGUUUUAUAUUAAUGCUUGCUAUUUGUUGUUUUGUCAAAAAAUUGUAUUAAUGCUUGAUGGAUUCAUUCAAUUUGCAGUGUGAAUGUGAAUUGGGCCAAUCGGUAAUAAUUAGGCCCAAAAGGUUUUAAAUA